CAGCCGCCGCGGUAAUACCGGCGGCCCGAGUGGCGGUCACUAUUAUUGGGCUUAAAGCGUCCGUAGCCGGGUUGGGAAGUCCUCCGGGAAAUCUGGCCGCUUAACGGUCAGAAUGCCGGAGGAUACUCCCAGCCUAGGGGGCGGGAGAGGCCGAGGGGAUUCCCGGAGUAGGGGUGAAAUCCUAUAAUCCCGGGAGGACCACCUGUGGCGAAGGCGCUCGGCUGGAACGCGUCCGACGGUGAGGGACGAAGGCCAGGGGAGCAAACCGGAUUAGAUACCCGGGUAGUCCUGGCUGUAAACGAUGCGGACUUUGUGUCGGACAAGCUAUGAGCUUGUCCGGUGCCGGAGGGAAACCGUUAAGUCCGCCGCCUGGGGAGUACGGCCGCAAGGCUGAAACUUAAAGGAAUUGGCGGG
RNAcentral lists this ribosomal RNA (414 nucleotides) under uncultured microorganism. Its description in RNAcentral is "bacterial SSU rRNA". It matches the Rfam family "Archaeal small subunit ribosomal RNA", at positions 459 to 872 of the family's 1478-position model. The record is from RNAcentral.